Lotus japonicus is the source of this 1158-nucleotide long non-coding RNA. RefSeq lists it as uncharacterized. The transcript is spliced from 3 exons. Lineage: Eukaryota; Viridiplantae; Streptophyta; Magnoliopsida; Fabales; Fabaceae. The record is from RefSeq and is a predicted model, not a curated record.
UAGAGAAAACAACACGGCAAAUUAUCAGGGCAGCUUUGCGUGUUUUCUUUAACUGCAGCCUGCAACCAUUAACUUUACGUGUUUAUCAAAACUAACAACCCUUGCUUUUCUCUUCCAUUUGUAGCCCUAUCAAUUGUAAACCAUGAUGCCUCCCUAUAGUCAGCUACUCAAGAUGAUUUUAAUUUGAAAUUUGAAAUUAGUGCAUGCAAACCUUCUUGAACGAUCUAUAAAUUGGGAUGAAUGGAAGCAGUUGUUGUGCGCAUCUGGAUUCAGACUUCGGAGGAUGGCUGGCCGGAUUUCUUGAAGGCAGAGUUGGAGGAAUCUCUCACUCAUAGAGGACUAAAUGAGACCACUUGCUCAUAAUCAAGUGUGAUCUUCAUCCUAGAUAUUUGGGACAACUUGACAUAAAAUUAAUGGCCGAGUUGCCUUUUAACAUGUACAAGUCUUUUCUAAGCAUUGAAGUGGAACUUAUGGAAGUGGUAUGAUAACACAAUGUGAAAUCAGAAGUAUAAUAGAAUUGGUGCAGGAGUCAUGUGUGAUAUAUCAAUUCGAUGUGUUUGUAGAAGCUUUAUAAUGGUGUGGGACUUAACAAACGAUCUUCAGAACAAAUGGCAAUGAUGACAACGUCGCAGUAUAAGGUGCAAAGGAGAUAGAGCAGAAACAGAUUGAUGGGCAACUAGGGAUUCUGCUAUUUGAUUUCCAACAAGCGAAUAUUGUGAUUUGUGAUGGAAGAAUUGAAAGUGGAGUUGGAGAGAAUAGCAGGUUAUGAAACACAAUAUGGUGAUAUCCAAGAAAAAUUUGAUAACAUGAAGAGUUACUUAGAGACUAUAUCAGUGCAGCUUGAUGAUUUCUUUAAUGAAAUAGUAGAAGGAAUGUAGAAGUUUCUGGUCAUGUGCUAUCAUAGGUAGAAAAAAAUUUAGAUAUAGAGAAAAGGAACUAGAAAAAAAAUGUUAAAAAAAGCACUGUCAUCUUGGUUAACGCUUUGGGUCUCAAAUUGUACAGGCUACAAGAGUUAGGCUAGAUACUAUUUUGGUGCAAAGUACUGCAAAAUCUGUGGGAUUCUUGAUUAUAGGCAUGUAUAUAAAUUAUAAUUUUAGGGACAAGUAUAAUUUUUAAUUACAUUUGAAUUAUUAUUGAAUAAGAUCAAAUUUUAACAUA